UUCCGGUUGAUCCUGCCGGACCUGACUGCUAUCGGAUUGAUACUAAGCCAUGCGAGUCUUUGUAGUAAUACAAGGCAGACGGCUCAGUAACACGUAGUCAACCUACCCUAUGGACAAGAAUAAUCUCGGGAAACUGGGCAUAAUUCUUGAUAGAUCAUAAUGCCUGGAAUGGUUUAUGGUUAAAAUGACUCGUCGCCAUAGGAUGGGACUGCGGCCUAUCAGCUUGUUGGUGAGGUAAUGGCCCACCAAGGCGAUUACAGGUACGGGCUCUGAGAGGAGAAGCCCGGAGAUGGGUACUGAGACACGGACCCAGGCCCUAUGGGGCGCAGCAGGCGAGAAAACUUUGCAAUGUGCGAAAGCACGACAAGGUUAAUCCGAGUGAUUUCUGCUAAAGAAAUCUUUUGCCAGUCAUAAAACCACUGGUGAAUAAGGGGUGGGCAAGUUCUGGUGUCAGCCGCCGCGGUAAAACCAGCACCUCAAGUGGUCAGGAUGAUUAUUGGGCCUAAAGCAUCCGUAGCCGGCUUUGUUAGUUUUCGGUUAAAUCCAUGUGCUCAACGCAUGGGCUGCCGAAAAUACUGCAUAGCUAGGGAGUGGGAGAGGUAGACGGUACUCAGUAGGAAGGGGUAAAAUCCUUUGAUCUAUUGAUGACCACCUGUGGCGAAGGCGGUCUACCAGAACACGUUCGACGGUGAGGGAUGAAAGCUGGGGGAGCAAACCGGAUUAGAUACCCGGGUAGUCCCAGCUGUAAACGAUGCAGACUCGAUGAUGCAUUGGCAUAAUAGCCAGUGCAGUGUCGCAGGGAAGCCGUUAAGUCUGCCGCCUGGGAAGUACGUACGCAAGUAUGAAACUUAAAGGAAUUGGCGGGGGAGCACCACAAGGGGUGAAGCCUGCGGUUCAAUUGGAGUCAACGCCGGGA
Molecule: ribosomal RNA, 916 nt
Filed under: uncultured archaeon
Lineage: Archaea
Description: SSU rRNA
Rfam family: Archaeal small subunit ribosomal RNA
Source: RNAcentral